CCCUCAGUAUGGUGAUAAUAUGGUAUGGUGAUGAUAUGGUAUGGUGGUAAUAUGGUAUGGUGAGGUCCCUCAGUAUGGUGAUAAUAUGGUAUGGUGAUGAUAUGGUAUGGUGGUAAUAUGGUAUGGUGAUAAUAUGGUAUGGUCUCUCAGUAAUAACCAGGUGGUCAGUCUCCAGGUUGUGUGUGUACCUCUCCUCAGUAAUAACCAGGCGGUCAGUCUCUAGGUUGUGUGUGUACCUCUCCUCAGUAAUAACCAGGCGGUCAGUCUCUAGGUUGUGUGUGUACCUCUCCUCAGUAAUAACCAGGCGGUCAGUCUCUAGGUUGUGUGUGUACCUCUCCUCAGUAAUAACCAGGCAGUCAGUCUCUAGGUUGUGUGUGUACCUCUCCUCAGUAAUAACCAGGCGGUCAGUCUCUAGGUUGUGUGUGUACCUCUCCUCAGUAAUAACCAGGCAGUCAGUCUCUAGGUUGUGUGUGUACCUCUCCUCAGUAAUAACCAGGCGGUCAGUCUCUAGGUUGUGUGUGUACCUCUCCUCAGUAAUAACCAGGCAGUCAGUCUCUAGGUUGUGUGUGUGUGUACCUCUCCUCAGUAAUAACCAGGCGGUCAGUCUCUAGGUUGUGUGUGUGUGUACCUCUCCUCAGUAAUAACCAGGCGGUCAGUCUCUAGGUUGUGUGUGUGUACCUCUCCUCAGUAAUAACCAGGCGGUCAGUCUCUAGGUUGUGUGUGUACCUCUCCUCAGUAAUAACCAGGCGGUCAGUCUCUAGGUUGUGUGUGUACCUCUCCUCAGUAAUAACCAGGCGGUCAGUCUCUAGGUUGUGUGUGUACCUCUCCUCAGUAAUAACCAGGCGGUCAGUCUCUAGGUUGUGUGUGUACCUCUCCUCAGUAGUAACCAGGCGGUCAGUCUCUAGGUUGUGUGUA
Oncorhynchus keta (chum salmon) is the source of this 915-nucleotide long non-coding RNA. RefSeq lists it as uncharacterized. NCBI's taxonomy places the organism in Eukaryota, Metazoa, Chordata, Actinopteri, Salmoniformes, Salmonidae. The record is from RefSeq and is a predicted model, not a curated record. The transcript is spliced from 4 exons.